CAAACUUUAGGGAAGAUGGAACAGACAUUAUUUUCUUGAAUUUACACAGAAGGAAACUGAGGUUCAGUGAAUUGCUUAAUAUGCCUUACCACGUGUUCUACUGCUUUUUCUAACAUACCAUUGCACAGUCCAAAAAACAAACAGAAAUACAUCAGUUUUGUAGUUGCUGCUGAAAGAUUCUACUAGACAUAACUUCAUAAUCAUCCUAUUAGAUUAUUUUUGAUCUACUGGCCACCUUCAAAGGCCUAGAAAACAAAAGAGGAGGAACGGAAGUUCCUUGAGUCUGAUGCUUUUGGAGCCCUGCAGCAUAUCCACCUCUAAUACUGGCUGAAGCCGCAGUGUUCCUAUCUUCCACGGCAGAGAACUCCAUGAGACAGUGAAAAGCAGCUCCAGGUGUAUGAAUGACUCUUAUUGAAGACAGGUGUCUGAUGAUUGGCAUCAAAGCCUUAUGCCAGGAGCUCUCUUUCAUGAGCCAGGUACUGCUGUACCCACAAUGCCAUGAGGUUGAGCAG
This is a long non-coding RNA of Prionailurus viverrinus (fishing cat), 512 nucleotides long. RefSeq lists it as uncharacterized. Lineage: Eukaryota; Metazoa; Chordata; Mammalia; Carnivora; Felidae. The record is from RefSeq and is a predicted model, not a curated record. The transcript is spliced from 3 exons.